CCUACGGGAGGCAGCAGUGGGGAAUAUUGCGCAAUGGGCGGAAGCCUGACGCAGCGACGCCGCGUGGGUGACGAAGGCCUUCGGGUCGUAAAACCCUGUUGCAGGGGACGAAGGAAGUGACGGUACCCUGUGAGGAAGCCCCGGCUAACUACGUGCCAGCAGCCGCGGUAAAACGUAGGGGGCGAGCGUUGUCCGGAAUUACUGGGCGUAAAGGGCUCGUAGGUGGUUUCUUAGGUCUCACGUGAAAUUCCCUGGCUCAACCAGGGAGGGUCGUGGGAAACCGAGAGGCUAGAGGGCAGGAGAGGAGAGUGGAAUUCCCGGUGUAGCGGUGAAAUGCGUAGAGAUCGGGAGGAACACCAGUGGUGAAGACGGCUCUCUGGACUGUCCCUGACACUGAGGAGCGAAAGCCAGGGGAGCAAACCGGAUUAGAUACCCGAGUAG
Molecule: ribosomal RNA, 441 nt
Filed under: uncultured Syntrophaceticus sp.
Lineage: Bacteria; Bacillati; Bacillota; Clostridia; Thermoanaerobacterales; Thermoanaerobacterales Family III. Incertae Sedis
Description: bacterial SSU rRNA
Rfam family: Bacterial small subunit ribosomal RNA
Source: RNAcentral